GAUGAACGCUGGCGGCGUGCCUAAUACAUGCAAGUCGAGCGAACGGACGAGAAGCUUGCUUUUCUGAUGUUAGCGGCGGACGGGUGAGUAACACGUGGAUAACCUACCUAUAAGACUGGGAUAACUUCGGGAAACCGGAGCUAAUACCGGAUAAUAUUUUGAACCGCAUGGUUCAAAAGUGAAAGACGGUCUUGCUGUCACUUAUAGAUGGAUCCGCGCUGCAUUAGCUAGUUGGUAAGGUAACGGCUUACCAAGGCAACGAUGCAUAGCCGACCUGAGAGGGUGAUCGGCCACACUGGAACUGAGACACGGUCCAGACUCCUACGGGAGGCAGCAGUAGGGAAUCUUCCGCAAUGGGCGAAAGCCUGACGGAGCGACGCCGCGUGAGUGAUGAAGGUCUUCGGAUCGUAAAACUCUGUUAUUAGGGAAGAACAGAUGUGUAAGUAACUGUGCACAUCUUGACGGUACCUAAUCAGAAAGCCACGGCUAACUACGUG
Molecule: ribosomal RNA, 497 nt
Filed under: uncultured bacterium
Lineage: Bacteria
Description: partial 16S ribosomal RNA
Rfam family: Bacterial small subunit ribosomal RNA
Source: RNAcentral